GAUGGCGGUGGGCUCUCCGCUUCUUCAUCUGCCUCCUUUGUAUAUCCUCAUCCGACGAAGUUGAAGAUGAUGAUGAAGUUGAAUUCGACAGGAAACUUGUUUUUGUAGUAGUAGUAUUACCUUGAGGCCGAUGCAUCUGGUUCAAGUUAUUAUUACCUAUCGGCACUUGUGACAGUGGCAGCGCAGGUGCAGUCAUAACAGCAGGCUGCGCUGCUCCUGUCACAACACUUUUCUGCGAAACACUAAAAAAAUGAUUAUGAUUUUGUGGAGUUGGCGUUGGCGUCGGCAUUGGAGGAUUUGCUGAAUUGUUUCCUGAUCGCAUUGGCAUUGCCAUUGUUAUGGGUGUUGCUGCUAAUGGAGGUGGCGGUAUGUUAGAAUGAGAAGAUGGAUUGUUUUCCAAAGCCUGUAACUGAUCAAAGAAUCGAUAAGUUUUUCCAUCUGCUUUCGA
This 448-nucleotide unclassified non-coding RNA is filed under the name Hevea brasiliensis (rubber tree). The record is from RNAcentral. Lineage: Eukaryota; Viridiplantae; Streptophyta; Magnoliopsida; Malpighiales; Euphorbiaceae.